GCUAGGUGUGGUUAGCACACACCUGUAAUCCCAGCUCCUCAGGAGGCUGAGGCAGGAGUAUGGCAAGUUCAAGGACAGCUUGGGCAACUUAGCAAGACCCUGCCUCAA
Molecule: small RNA, 108 nt
Filed under: Marmota monax (woodchuck)
Lineage: Eukaryota; Metazoa; Chordata; Mammalia; Rodentia; Sciuridae
Source: RNAcentral